This 446-nucleotide ribosomal RNA is filed under the name uncultured bacterium. RNAcentral describes it as "partial 16S ribosomal RNA". It matches the Rfam family "Bacterial small subunit ribosomal RNA", at positions 329 to 792 of the family's 1533-position model. The record is from RNAcentral.
GUCCAGACUCCUACGGGAGGCAGCAGUGGGGAAUAUUGCACAAUGGGGGAAACCCUGAUGCAGCGACGCCGCGUGAGCGAUGAAGUAUUUCGGUAUGUAAAGCUCUAUCAGCAGGGAAGAAAAUGACGGUACCUGACUAAGAAGCCCCGGCUAACUACGUGCCAGCAGCCGCGGUAAUACGUAGGGGGCAAGCGUUAUCCGGAUUCACUGGGUGUAAAGGGGGCGUAGACGGCGACGCAAGUCUGGAGUGAAAGCCCGGGGCCCAACCCCGGGACUGCUCUUGGAACUGCGUGGCUAGAGUGCAGGAGGGGCAGGCGGAAUUCCUGGUGUAGCGGUGAAAUGCGUAGAUAUCAGGAGGAACACCGGUGGCGAAGGCGGCCUGCUGGACUGCAACUGACGUUGAGGCCCGAAAGCGUGGGGAGCAAACAGGAUUAGAUACCCCUGUA